AGUGAACGCUGGCGGUAGGCCUAACACAUGCAAGUCGAACGGCAGCACAGUAAGAGCUUGCUCUUACGGGUGGCGAGUGGCGGACGGGUGAGGAAUACAUCGGAAUCUACUUUUUCGUGGGGGAUAACGUAGGGAAACUUACGCUAAUACCGCAUACGACCUACGGGUGAAAGCAGGGGAUCUUCGGACCUUGCGCGAUUGAAUGAGCCGAUGUCGGAUUAGCUAGUUGGCGGGGUAAAGGCCCACCAAGGCGACGAUCCGUAGCUGGUCUGAGAGGAUGAUCAGCCACACGGGAACUGAGACACGGUCCAGACUCCUACGGGAGGCAGCAGUGGGGAAUAUUGGACAAUGGGGGCAAGCCUGAUCCAGCCAUACCGCGUGGGUGAAGAAGGCCUUCGGGUUGUAAAGCCCUUUUGUUGGGAAAGAAAAGCAGCAGGUUAAUACCCCGCUGUUCUGGCGGUACCCAAAGAAUAAGCACCGGCUAACUUCGUG
Molecule: ribosomal RNA, 492 nt
Filed under: uncultured bacterium
Lineage: Bacteria
Description: partial 16S ribosomal RNA
Rfam family: Bacterial small subunit ribosomal RNA
Source: RNAcentral